GCGGCGGCCCGGGGGCGGUGAAAAGGAGCCGGGGGGGCCCGAGAGCCGCCGCCGCUCGCCAUGAGGGCAGCGCUCGCCCCCGGGGUCCGCCUGCUCCGAGCCCUGCCCCGGGACAGCCGCUAUCGGGGACUGACUCUGGUGCUGACCUUCCUCUCCUACACCAGCUACCACCUCUCCCGAAAACCCAUCAGCAUCGUCAAGAGCCAGCUGCACCCCAACUGCUCAGCCUUGGGCCCAAACCCCCACAAUGACUCCAACAGCACCACAUGGUGCAGCUGGGCCCCCUUUGAUGGGGACAACUACAAGGAACUUUUUGGGGCGCUGGAUAAUGCCUUCCUGGUGGCCUAUGCCAUUGGGAUGUUCAUCAGUGGCAUUUUUGGGGAGCGCCUCCCUCUGCGCUACUACCUGUCGGGGGGAAUGGUGCUGAGCGGGCUCUUCACCUCCCUCUUUGGCCUCGGCUACUUCUGGGACAUCCACGUCCUCUGGUACUUCAUCAUUGUGCAGGUCUGCAACGGGCUGGUGCAGACGACUGGCUGGCCUGCUGUCGUGGCAUGCGUUGGAAACUGGUUUGGCAAAGGAAAGAGAGGUUUGAUCAUGGGCAUCUGGAACUCCCACACCUCCGUUGGCAACAUCUUAGGGUCGCUCAUCGCUGGUGCCUGGGUUUCCUCUGCCUGGGGCCUGUCCUUUGUUGUGCCUGGCAUCAUCAUCACUGCUGUGGGCAUCAUCUGCUUCUUCUUCCUCGUGGAGUACCCUGAGGAUGUUGACUGCAGUCCACCUCUGCAUCAUACUGCCUGUGAUGAGGAUCCUGGGGGAGUGACCACCAGUGAGAAGGAUCCUGAAGCAGUCACCUCCAAUGAGGGCCCACUCAGCCUCUCAGGCCAGAGCAGUGUGGAUCACCACUCCAGCAGCCCCAAGGAGCCAGCUGAGGAGCCUGAAGCCAUCAGCUUCCUUGGGGCACUUCGGAUACCUGGUGUGGUGGAAUUCUCCCUGUGCCUGCUCUUUGCCAAGCUGGUGAGCUACACCUUCCUGUACUGGCUGCCCCUCUACAUUGUCAACGUGGCUCAUUUUGGUGCCAAGGAAGCUGGGGACCUCUCCACCCUCUUUGAUGUCGGGGGCAUUUUAGGGGGGAUCUUCGCUGGCCUCAUCUCUGACUACACAGGCGGCAGGGCCACCACGUGCUGCGUGAUGCUGGUGGUGGCUGCCCCCAUGCUGUUCCUGUAUAACCAUGUGGGUCAGAAUGGCAUUGGCACAUCAAUAGCCAUGCUGAUUGUCUGUGGUGCUCUGGUGAACGGGCCCUACGCUCUCAUCACGACAGCAGUGUCAGCAGAUUUGGGCACCCAUGAAUCUCUCAAAGGAAAUGCCAAAGCCCUUUCGACUGUCACGGCCAUCAUCGACGGCACGGGAUCUGUUGGUGCUGCGCUGGGGCCGCUGCUCGCAGGGCUCAUCUCUCCCACGGGCUGGAAUAAUGUCUUUUACAUGUUGAUAGCAGCUGAUGUCCUGGCUUGUCUGCUCCUGGCUCGUGUGGUGCUCAAAGAGGCUCGUGGCUGGUGUGGCCCCAUGGCGAGGCAGAGAGGGUAUGUAGUGACCUCCCUGGGGCAGCCUCCAGUGCCACCAUGCCCAAACACAGUGCUGGUGCUGCUCCAGAAAGAUGUUUGUUAUCCCUUGCUGUCGCUGCUGCAUCUCCGCGUGGGAAUGGCGGGGCCGCCCGCCCCACCUCUCGCUCCCGUGGCCACAGAGACAUUUCCACCUCCAGCCAAGGCAGCACCUGGGGGCUUUUAGCCAUCAAAAGACACCUGGGGUGCUAAACACAGUGUCCUUGUGUCUUUGUAGCUCUAGUGUGCAGCUAACAGAGUCAGUGAUGGAUGGGAAGUAGCUCGGUGUGAAACACCAAAAUUCUGGGCCUCGUGCUGCGGUAAGUGCAGCCCAAAGCUCCUCCUUCGGUGCCGGUGGAGGGCUGCCAGGCUCUGCUCUCUGCUGCCGGGGCUGGUCAGGGCCAUGCCUGUCCCGGGGCUGGCAGCGUCCGUGCCCGGUUUCUGCUGGGGGAGCAGCUGGCUCAGACUGGGGCAGCGCUGCAAUGUCUGAGGGCUUUGGGGACUGCCUUUGGAGCAGCUUGCAGAGGAGAGGCACAAACGCUGUAGGAUUUUUGGGGACAUUUCAGCUUUGGCCGGAGACAAAACAGUGGCUGGAUCUGCUCCUUGCGCCUCUUCUCCUCCUCGCGGUUUAAGGAGUUCUGAGCCCAGCCCGGCGCAGGAGGAGCGGCGGGGGCGCACGGAGCGGGGCGGGCGGAGCGCGGGCGCUCGGCGGAGCUGCGGCCCCGGCCCGCGGAGCCCCCACCCACCGCCCGGGGCUGCGUCCAGCCCAGCCGGGCCAGGGGGAGGCAAAGGGCCCCGGCCACUCGGUGUGCUGGGUCAGUUCUUCACCAUCGGCCGUUUUAUUAAUAAAAAGGUGCAAAACCUG
Molecule: RNA transcript, 2457 nt
Organism: Oenanthe melanoleuca
Lineage: Eukaryota; Metazoa; Chordata; Aves; Passeriformes; Muscicapidae
Gene: SLC37A2
Gene name: solute carrier family 37 member 2
Exons: 19
Source: RefSeq, a predicted model, not a curated record